CCUACGGGCGGCAUCAGUGGGGAAUAUUGGGCAAUGGGCGCAAGCCUGACCCAGCAACGCCGCGUGAAGGAAGAAUGCUUUCGGGUUGUAAACUUCUUUUCUGCGGGACGAAGAAAGUGACGGUACCUCAGGAAUAAGCCACGGCUAACUACGUGACAGCAGCCGCGGUAAUACGGAGGUGGGAAGCCUUAUCCGGAUUUAUUGGGAUUAAAGGGCGUGUAGGCGGGAAAGCAAGUCAGAUGUGAAAACUCAGGGCCCAACCCUGAGCCUGCAGUUGAAACUGUUUUUCUUGAGUGCUGGAGAGGCAAGCGGAAUUCCGGGUGUAGCGGUGAAAUGCGUAGAUAUAAGGAGGAACACCAGUGGCGAAGGCGGAUUGCUGGACAGUAACUGACGCUGAGGCGCGAAAGCGUGGGGAGCAAACAGGAUUAGAUACCCUGGUAGUC
This 443-nucleotide ribosomal RNA is filed under the name uncultured bacterium. Its description in RNAcentral is "partial 16S ribosomal RNA". It matches the Rfam family "Bacterial small subunit ribosomal RNA", at positions 338 to 795 of the family's 1533-position model. The record is from RNAcentral.